Molecule: transfer RNA, 66 nt
Filed under: Polyphylla gracilicornis
Lineage: Eukaryota; Metazoa; Arthropoda; Insecta; Coleoptera; Scarabaeidae
Description: tRNA-Phe
Source: RNAcentral
ACUUAAAUAGCUUAGAGUUAGAGUUUAAUAUUGAAGAUAUUAAGGUGGCAAGUGUGCCUUUAAGUA